UACGAAGGGGGCUAGCGUUGCUCGGAAUUACUGGGCGUAAAGCGCACGUAGGCGGUUCGUACAGUCAGACGUGAAAUUCCUGGGCUCAACCUGGGGGCUGCGUUUGAUACGUGCGGACUUGAGUGCGGAAGAGGGUCGUGGAAUUCCCAGUGUAGAGGUGAAAUUCGUAGAUAUCGGGAGGAACACCAGUGGCGAAGGCGGCGAUCUGGGAAGAUACUGACGCUGAGGUGCGAAAGCGUGGGGAGCAAACAGG
This 253-nucleotide ribosomal RNA is filed under the name uncultured bacterium. RNAcentral describes it as "partial 16S ribosomal RNA". It matches the Rfam family "Bacterial small subunit ribosomal RNA", at positions 524 to 776 of the family's 1533-position model. The record is from RNAcentral.